Molecule: ribosomal RNA, 169 nt
Filed under: Porites lichen
Lineage: Eukaryota; Metazoa; Cnidaria; Anthozoa; Scleractinia; Poritidae
Description: 5.8S ribosomal RNA
Rfam family: 5.8S ribosomal RNA
About the family: 5.8S ribosomal RNA (5.8S rRNA) is a component of the large subunit of the eukaryotic ribosome. It is transcribed by RNA polymerase I as part of the 45S precursor that also contains 18S and 28S rRNA. Functionally, it is thought that 5.8S rRNA may be involved in ribosome translocation.
Source: RNAcentral
GACAACUUUUGACGGUGGAUCUCUUGGCUCACGUAUCGAUGAAGAACGCAGCCAGCUGCGAUAUGUAGUGUGAAUUGCAGAAUUCAGUGAAUCAUUGAAUCUUUGAACGCAAAUGGCGCUCUUGGGUUCUCCCAGGAGCAUGUCUGUCUGAGUGUCGGAUUUUAUGGAA